GCGCAGCCUGAUCAGCGAUGCCGCGUGUUAGAUGACCGGUUCGGGUUGCCCCUGCUUUUGUCACGCAAGAAAUCCUUUGGGCUAAUACCUGUCUGAGGAUGACGGUACCUGAUCAAUACGCACCGGCUAACUACGUGCCAGCAGCCGCGGAAAUACUGACGGUGCGAGCGUUAAUCGGAAUUACUGGGCGUAAAGCGUGCGCAGGCGGCUUUGCAAGACAGAGGUGAAAUCCCCGGGCUCAACCUGGGAACUGCCUUUGUGACUGCAAGGCUAGAGUACGGCAGAGGGGGAUGGAAUUCCGCGUGUAGCAGUGAAAUGCGUAGAUAUGCGGAGGAACACCGAUGGCGAAGGCAAUCCCCUGGGCCUGUACUGACGCUCAUGCACGAAAGCGUGGGGAGCAAACAGGAUUAGAUACCCUGGUAGUCCACGCCCUAAACGAUGUCAACUGGUUGUUGGACGGCUUGCUGUUCAGUAACGAAGCUAACGCGUGAAGUUGACCGCCUGGGGAGUACGGCCGCAAGGUUGAAACUCAAAG
RNAcentral lists this ribosomal RNA (535 nucleotides) under uncultured bacterium. Its description in RNAcentral is "bacterial SSU rRNA". It matches the Rfam family "Bacterial small subunit ribosomal RNA", at positions 375 to 906 of the family's 1533-position model. The record is from RNAcentral.